UAUGUUAAUAGCAUAUUCAUUUGACGUUAGCUGCAGAAGAAGCCACCGGCUAACUCCGUGCCAGCAGCCGCGGUAAUACGGAGGGUGCGAGCGUUAAUCGGAAUUACUGGGCGUAAAGCGCAUGCAGGUGGUUGUUAAGUCAGAUGUGAAAGCCCGGGGCUCAACCUCGGAAUUGCAUUUGAAAACUGGCAAACUAGAGUACUGUAGAGGGGGUAGAAUUUCAGGUGUAGCGGUGAAAUGCGUAGAGAUCUGAAGGAAUACCGGUGGCGAAGGCGGCCCCCUGGACAGAUACUGACACUCAGAUGCGAAAGCCGUGGGGAGCAAACAGGAUUAGAUACCCUGGUAG
RNAcentral lists this ribosomal RNA (346 nucleotides) under uncultured bacterium. Its description in RNAcentral is "bacterial SSU rRNA". It matches the Rfam family "Bacterial small subunit ribosomal RNA", at positions 449 to 793 of the family's 1533-position model. The record is from RNAcentral.